This 184-nucleotide ribosomal RNA is filed under the name Candidatus Bathyarchaeota archaeon. RNAcentral describes it as "partial 16S ribosomal RNA". The record is from RNAcentral. Lineage: Archaea; Thermoproteati; Candidatus Bathyarchaeota.
UCGGGAUUAUAGGAUUUCGCCCCUACCCCGAGACUACCGCCGACCUCCCUCGCCCCCAAGCCGAAGAGUAUUCCCCGCAGCCCAACGAUUGGAUCGUUGGAUUUAACGGAGAACUUUUCCGGCCGGCUACGGACGCUUUAGACCCAAUAAUCGUCCCAACCAUUCGAGGAGCUGGUAUUACCGC